This 422-nucleotide ribosomal RNA is filed under the name uncultured bacterium. RNAcentral describes it as "bacterial SSU rRNA". It matches the Rfam family "Bacterial small subunit ribosomal RNA", at positions 355 to 774 of the family's 1533-position model. The record is from RNAcentral.
UAAGGAAUAUUGGACAAUGGUCGCAAGACUGAUCCAGCCAUGCCGCGUGCAGGAAGACGGCCCUAUGGGUUGUAAACUGCUCUUGUACCAGAGAAAACCUAUCUACGUGUAGAUAGCUGAUAGUAUGGUAAGAAUAAGCAUCGGCUAACUUCGUGCCAGCAGCCGCGGUAAGACGAAGGAUGCAAGCGUUAUCCGGAUUCAUUGGGUUUAAAGGGUGCGUAGGCGGGCUUGUAAGUCAGUGGUGAAAUCUCUCAGCUUAACUGAGAAACUGCCAUUGAUACUGCAGGUCUAGAGUAUAGAUGACGUUGGCGGAAUAUGACAUGUAGUGGUGAAAUACUUAGAUAUGUCAUAGAACACCGAUUGCGAAGGCAGCUAACGAAACUAUAACUGACGCUGAGGCACGAAAGUGCGGGGAUCAAACA